AACGAACGCUGGCGGCAUGCCUAACACAUGCAAGUCGAACGAGACCUUCGGGUCUAGUGGCGCACGGGUGCGUAACGCGUGGGAACCUGCCCUUAGGUUCGGAAUAACUCCCCGAAAGGGGUGCUAAUACCGGAUAAUGUCUUCGGACCAAAGAUUUAUCGCCUUUGGAUGGGCCCGCGUUGGAUUAGCUAGUUGUUAGGGUAAAAGCCUACCAAGGCGACGAUCCAUAGCUGGUCUGAGAGGAUGAUCAGCCACACUGGGACUGAGACACGGCCCAGACUCCUACGGGAGGCAGCAGUGGGGAAUAUUGGACAAUGGGCGAAAGCCUGAACCAGCAAUGCCGCGUGAGUGAUGAAGGCCUUAGGGUUGUAAAGCUCUUUUACCCGGGAUGGUAAUGACAGUACCGGGAGAAUAAGCUCCGGCUAACUCCGUG
RNAcentral lists this ribosomal RNA (433 nucleotides) under uncultured bacterium. RNAcentral describes it as "partial 16S ribosomal RNA". It matches the Rfam family "Bacterial small subunit ribosomal RNA", at positions 29 to 507 of the family's 1533-position model. The record is from RNAcentral.